RNAcentral lists this microRNA precursor (89 nucleotides) under Chlorocebus sabaeus (green monkey). RNAcentral describes it as "miRNA (ENSCSAG00000023156.1)". The record is from RNAcentral. Lineage: Eukaryota; Metazoa; Chordata; Mammalia; Primates; Cercopithecidae.
AUUACCCUGAGAUCUUGUUAAAAUUCAGAUUCUAAUUCAGCCUGAGUUUCUGCAGUUCUAGCAUGUUCCCAGGUGAAGGCAAUACUGCU